CGGCCGGGAACUCAAAGGAGACUGCCAGUGAUAAACUGGAGGAAGGUGGGGAUGACGUCAAGUCAUCAUGGCCCUUACGACCAGGGCUACACACGUGCUACAAUGGCAUAUACAAAGAGAAGCGACCUCGCGAGAGCAAGCGGACCUCAUAAAGUAUGUCGUAGUCCGGAUUGGAGUCUGCAACUCGACUCCAUGAAGUCGGAAUCGCUAGUAAUCGUGGAUCAGAAUGCCACGGUGAAUACGUUCCCGGGCCUUGUACACACCGCCCGUCACACCAUGGGAGUGGGUUGCAAAAGAAGUAGGUAGCUUAACCUUCGGGAGGGCGCUUACCACUUUGUGAUUCAUGACUGGGGUGAAGUCGUAACAAGGUAACCGUAGGGGAACCUGCGGUUGGAUCACCUCCUUA
RNAcentral lists this ribosomal RNA (406 nucleotides) under Citrobacter amalonaticus. Its description in RNAcentral is "bacterial SSU rRNA". It matches the Rfam family "Bacterial small subunit ribosomal RNA", at positions 1128 to 1533 of the family's 1533-position model. The record is from RNAcentral. Lineage: Bacteria; Pseudomonadati; Pseudomonadota; Gammaproteobacteria; Enterobacterales; Enterobacteriaceae.